UGUGCCCAUCGCUACUGCCAGUUUGACCACUGAUCUGCAUAAUAUCAGUGGGAUAGCAUGCUGAAUCCCGCAGCUUCUGCACCAUAUGUUUCCUGGCCGAGUGGUUGAAAGUUGCGACCACACAUUCCAUGGGUGAUGAUAUCUACCAAAAUUCUUGGCGGCACAGUUCUACCCUCGUCAGUUGCACUUGUCCGAGUCUUUCUCUGCCUCUCAACCAACUCGAGAUAUUCCCCCCCCCCCAACUGCAUCCCGGCACAGCUUCACAUCAACCCAUCUAAUUAAUUUGCCGGAAAGGUUGACCACACAAAUUUCCUGUUUGGUUGUGGAGAUAGAAUCAUUUUUUUUUGUGAAAGUUUGAUUUCAGACACUUAAAAAUUGAAAUUGCCAUGUAUUAUUAGGCAUGGCAGGCAUUAGCAAAGCAUCUCAAUCAAGUAUUAAUUA
Long non-coding RNA from Dreissena polymorpha, 441 nucleotides. RefSeq lists it as uncharacterized. The transcript is spliced from 3 exons. The record is from RefSeq and is a predicted model, not a curated record. Lineage: Eukaryota; Metazoa; Mollusca; Bivalvia; Myida; Dreissenidae.